RNAcentral lists this ribosomal RNA (465 nucleotides) under Vreelandella stevensii. Its description in RNAcentral is "partial 16S ribosomal RNA". It matches the Rfam family "Bacterial small subunit ribosomal RNA", at positions 338 to 795 of the family's 1533-position model. Lineage: Bacteria; Pseudomonadati; Pseudomonadota; Gammaproteobacteria; Oceanospirillales; Halomonadaceae. The record is from RNAcentral.
CCUACGGGUGGCUGCAGUGGGGAAUAUUGGACAAUGGGGGCAACCCUGAUCCAGCCAUGCCGCGUGUGUGAAGAAGGCCCUCGGGUUGUAAAGCACUUUCAGUGAGGAAGAACGCCUGGUGGUUAAUACCCAUCAGGAAAGACAUCACUCACAGAAGAAGCACCGGCUAACUCCGUGCCAGCAGCCGCGGUAAUACGGAGGGUGCGAGCGUUAAUCGGACUUACUGGGCGUAAAGCGCGCGUAGGUGGCUUGAUAAGCCGGUUGUGAAAGCCCCGGGCUCAACCUGGGAACGGCAUCCGGAACUGGCAAGCUAGAGUGCAGGAGAGGAAGGUAGAAUUCCCGGUGUAGCGGUGAAAUGCGUAGAGAUCGGGAGGAAUACCAGUGGCGAAGGCGGCCUUCUGGACUGACACUGACACUGAGGUGCGAAAGCGUGGGUAGCAAACAGGAUUAGAUACCCCAGUAGUC